UGUGAAGAAGCUGGACAGCGCAUAUACGUCAAAUUGUAAAGUGUUCUGGAGAGGAAGUUUUAUCCAGGUUUUGUUUGUUCUUGUUCUCCGGUUGUUUUUUUGUUGUUGACCCGAAUUGACCUGGGACUGUUCGCUGUGAGGCUGGAGUCACUGGAUCCAGGACCUGUGGACCUGCUGGACGCCUUGACGUCUCUUCUUGGUGGACCUGGCCUUCAUUGCAGUACAGUUGAAUUAAGCUAAGAUCUUGUGCACCAACGAAAGAAAGAAACAAAAAAUCAUACUACCCGGGUAGAUGAGACAAAAUAGUUUUUUUUCAGAGCUCUGAACUUUUUAUUUUUGAAAGGACAAAUUGUUGGACAAAAGGACUGAUUUAUGUAGGGGUAAGCUGGUAAUAUUUGGGGAAGAAUAUUGAUUCUGUUCAAUAAAUUUUACACACUUUUCUCAUUUCAACCUACAGUGUAAAUUUAUUACACCUUCUUUCCUCCUUUAGAACCUAGAUUCCUGGGUACACGUAUCAUUCAUAUCUUACUAGUUCGUUUGGUACAGGUUACACAAUCAAUCCAAUUCUUUUUAUGAAUGUCCAUUUCAGUGCACAUCUUCUGCGCAAAUGUGAGUAUUUUACCAUUACACAAAAUCUACCAAUGCACAAAAACUAAUGUUGGUGCCAAUUAUUGACCAUUACCAGGCUGCAAGAAAACAGCACAAAAUGAUCUGCUUUGCAUUUAUCAGAUAGGAAAAAUAUCAAAAUGUAUUUUUUUGCCAACACAAAAAUUUGUCCUUUCAUAUAUAUCUCAAAUUUAGACCAAGAUGUAGCACAGAAUUGUCUGAAAAGAAUAAUCCUAAAAAGUAAAAAAAUAAAUAAAAUUAAUGAACAAAACAUUUUCCCGGAUUUCCAAAAACUGCACAUUUUAUGUGCUUAAUGAUUUAAACAUGACAAUUUGAUGAACACAGGGUACUGACGGUCUGAUGUGGUGGCUGAGCAGAGUUGAAAAAUCCUCAAAAAGGUACCACCUCACCAAAUUUCAUGCUAUUUCAUGUGUACAAAAUUACUGACCACAACUAUGUAUAUGAACGUUUUGAACAUUACAUUUUGGCGAAUGACAUUCCGGCUGCAAAGAAAGUGUCAGUGUUGUUUAGUGUGAUGGGACCUAAAACGUAAGAACUACACUGCAGUCUGGUAGCUCCCAUGAAGCCUGGUACAGUGACCUAUAGCAAGACUGUGACUGUGUUGCAAGCCCAUUUAGCUCCAAAACUUUUGAAAGUUUCUGCUUCCACAAGCGAAAUCAAAGGGAAGGAAAAACAGUAGCACCGUACGUUGCGGUGCUUAAGAGACUGUCGGAACACUGUGAGUUCAGUGGUUACUUGGAAGACGCUCUAAGAGACAGAUUUGUAUGUGGAUUAAAGAGCAAAACUGUUCAGAAGCACCUUUUGACUGAGAAAGAUCUCAUGUUCCAGAAAGCAGCAGCCCAUGCUGUGUUGUCAGAGACAGCAGCAUGCAAUGUAGAGUUAAGGAUGUAUUUUCGCAGUGAUAAAUGUCGCCGUUGUGGAAAAAUGGAAAAAAGAGAUUGUCAUCAGUGUGGGAGGAAAGUCCAAGAGCAAAGCCAAAAGCAGCCAAGACAGAGAACACAAACAGAAGGAUGGAAGGUCUGAACAGGAAGGUCAUUAAACCAGAGUGAAAUAUAAAAAGAAGAAAAUUCAUCAUGUUGAGGCACAGGAAAGUGAAAGUGAAGAAAUUAAAUCAGAUGCUGAUAGCAAUUUGGGACUUUAUUCCUUGUUUCAAAAAUGGAAAUAUUCACGUAUAUCAAUAAUACCUUUAGUCAAUGGAAAGAAAAUGGAGAUGGAAUUGGAUACAGGGGUAUCACAUACAAGUAGAAUUAAACAAGCAAUGUGCUGUUUGCCCUUGUUCGUGGAUGCUCCACCAUUGUUUGGUAGUGGCUGGGGAGUCAUUAAACUGAAUUGGGAUCUGAAUUGACAAUCUAGAGAUGGUGUUGAAGAAACACUCCGCUGUUUUCUCAUAUAAGUUAGGCUCAGUGAAAGGUAUUAAAGCCAGACUCACGGUAAGACCAAACAGUACACCCAAAUUCUGCCUACUUCUGAAUCUUAGAAGUGAUAUCAAGAGUAACAUAACUCUCCUAUUUUUAUUUAAUGUUUAUUCAAAGAAAAGAAAGAAGAAAUUUACCUCUUAUGACGUAUAACAGGGAAAUUAUCUCUUGAGUUGUGUUAAAGAAAAUAUGCUUUUGUUUAUUGACAACAAAUCUUAGUGGGGAGGUGAUGUUACGUAUGAACCUAAACGUUUUAUACAGUUUUCAGUUUUCUACCAAUAGAUGGAACCAAGCAACUACGUAAGUUGUAGAGUUCUGAUUCGAAAAACAUUAUAAAAAGUAAGUGAAUCAGCCAACAUGUGUCUUCGUAGCUCUUUGUGUCAUGUAAAAGUGUUUGCAUAGUGACAUAAAAGGGAGCAACAUAAGCCUAUACAUGAAGAUUAAUUACCGGAACCACACGCAAUAUUCAACUUGACCACUGGAGGCGAGCGGACUGCCACCAAUAUUACAAAAGGUUUGUAUUUACCGACAAAAUAAAAUGAUGUAAUUUUCAGAAAACAUAACCAUAAUAAUCACCCUCUGAACUGUUGACCUUAUUUACAUCGACAAUUUCACACAUUUUGUAGUCGUUUCUGAAAUGGUCGCUCAAGAAAAGACACUUGUUUUAAGCGUUCACCUUUCUUUCCGAAGUAUUUCUGGGCCCUACCUUGCACACAAUCUUAGGGCUAGAACAAGUGUAGGGCGUGGAGCUCUAAACAAGAGGUGUGGUGUGUCUAUCAGGUGGUGUGGAGCAGACAGAGUGUGGUGCAGUGAACUGCCAGAAUAGUAAAGAUAAAUAUAAAUAUCAAACUGCUGCAGAGUACAGGUUCAUUCGUACCACCAGCAGCCCAAAGUACCUGCAGGUAAAUGGAGAAGCCGAGCGGGCAGUAGCCACUGUCAAAGGACUGUGGAAAGGAGGAGGUGAGAAAACAAAGGCUACAUCUCUUAGUAUCUUACACAACUCCUGAUGGGCAGAACCAAACAGAGACAGUACAAAACCAACUGACAAUGUUACUACAAUCACAGCCACAAGGCCAGACCACUGACACUUCUGCAAGUGGGUCAAAACAUGUGGCUGUCAAGAAAGAACAAAGAACAACAAGCAACUUGUGGGAAUUAUUUUCUGUAUUUUUAGUGUUUCAUUCAUGUUAAUUCACCAUGCAAUAUGGAAGGGGUGUAAUGUUCUUGUACAUGUGUCAUAAAGAGAAGUCAAUGUCUGAACUUUAAAAUGUCAAUGAGUUUGGGACAUGUUAUGAUGGACUUUGUGAUGUAUACGAGACAUAAAGGGGGAGUGUCUGAACUCUUUAACAUAUGACAAUCUGUGAUUACACUGUCUGGGUCAACAUUACUGUAAAUUUCCUGUAAAUACCUGUUAUAGUCUGUCAAUAUUUUGAAGAGAUGGUCAGUAUAAAGCUGCCAGCUCUGUUGUACUAGGAGAGGUGACGUGGAGCGAUGCUGUGUGAAUCAACUUGAAUCAAGAGACCUGUACCUGUGUGAGCCUAAUAAAGAGACAUGUUUGUGAACACCUUUAAUCCUUCUGGACUCUCUUUUAAGGCUCUUUCCAGGCCCCUCCAGAAGAAGCUGACAAUUUGGUGACCCGCGACGUGAUUCCGAUGAAGACUUCUGGAGGAGGCAGGUCCAAGACGUCACUCCGCAAGAAUCCCAAAAAAAGACAUUGCAAAAGAGCGCGCUACAAAAAAGGUCAGAAUUUUUGUCUAUUAAAUUAAUGUCAAAAAAUGUGAUGUACUUAUUGGGACUCUUGCGAUAUCUAAUUGAGUGUUUUUUUUUUAAAGGAACUAUAAAUAAAUUAGCAAUUGAUGAAUAUUUAAGAAUUGUGUUAGACUUCACGUCAAGAAAGUCAAAAUAAGUGGCUUUAAUGGCCAGAAUCGUGUUAUAACUUCACGAAAAAAAAGUUGGUGAAUCUAAAAAAAUAAUAGUAUUUUUUAGGCUUUAAAGGUUGUAUGGAGGAUUUUUUUUUGUUUCAAGUUGUCAAUGAUAGCAUUAUAGAGGUGCAGUAGCCUUGUAAUUAUGAUGACCAAAAAAAAGAGAAUAAAAAUUCAUCAACUCUGGACGUGGUGGGGCCAGCUAAACAUUUGCCAAUAGAUAACGACACUGCUUCGUUAUCUGUUAGCUGAAAGGCUGUCAAUCAAUCUCCCUACGUUUCUAGCAUAACUGACUUGCCUGCGCCGCCGGUACGUGGUUUACGUACGCCUGUCACGCAGUCCACAGACGCAAGCCGCACAGACGCUGUUUACUCCACCAACGCAACAGUUCUUAGCUGCUUUUUUUGACCUAUAUCUUCCUCGCAGUUAGCACAAAGUUUGUUGCAAUGGCAGACAAGAAUCCAGGAGCAGUUAGCCGCAAAAGAAAGUCCGUUUUUGAGGUCGCUGAAAGAAGAAGACAAGGGCAAAAGCAGCGAAGCCAAACUAAGGUGAUUCUUGAAGAUUCAUUCCAGCGAUGGCGCGACUGAAGCUGACGCAGGGUCUAAAGACUGACGCAUUGGUCGCCAAAUUACUCCUGGACAGGUCACUUCUGCUUAUUAUGAAAACAUACUUUAUUUCCAAGAGCUAGUCAAACGUUUUUCAGGACACGAAAGCGAUAUCCUAUGUCUGAAAACGUAAUUUUCAAGGCAAAGAAAGAGUCCGCUUGCUGCUGCGUGUUGUAGCUAGUUCAUUCGCACGGAAUCUCCGCGCAACCUUCUCUGCACCCCUUUCCUGCUCCUGUGCCCGCUGCCCGAUCCGCUCUUCCCCCUGCUCCUCACUUCUCCGGGCACGGAAUCUCCGCGCACCGCUCCCCUCUCCUCUCUCCUCUCACCUCUCCCUGCUCCUCACUUCUCGUCCGCGAACGAAAUGUCCGCACACCCGCUCCCCCCGCUCCUCACUUCUCCGUCUUGCCUAACCAACACUGUAGUUAGGUGUUUACAAGUCAUGUGCAGCGCACCGGCUGUAAACAAACCUGUUUCUGGCGUAAGGAGGAGGCGUUUCUACGUAGGGAGCUGUAGGGGAGCGGGGGGUUUCACGCAUGCGCAACAUUUGAAAAAGGACAAACAGUCGCUGGAUUUCUCGUUCUUUGGAAAAUCCUCUAUACAACCUUUAAAUAAGAUAAAGCGUAAUUAACAAAGUUAUUAAUUUUAAAGUGCCGUGUUAGGCUUUGCAUGAGAGAAAAGGAAAUUUUUAUAAGAAAAUAUAUGUCUGUGGUUAAACUUUUACGCAGAAAAAAAACAAAGCUUUUAAUGAAGUUUAUAUAAAAAAGAAUAAAAAACUUAAGUUGCGCACAAAAAAGUAGAACACGGAGAAAGGAGUCAAAUUUGGUAUAGAGACAAAAGAGUAGAACCGAUUAAAAAACAGUGGCCUAUUGUAAAAAUUAAAUCUAAAUUGAGGAGAAGAAAAAAGUAUUAGUGUUUUUUAUUUACACUCUGAGCUCUAAAAGAAACAAGCCUGUUCAAUGAAGUUAUAUUCAAACGAACACGAAAUUAUAAAAGACCGAAGGUCAAAAGAAAGCGAGCCUGUUCAAGUGAACAUGACAUUAUAUGAAUUGACCGAAGGUCAAUAGAACAAGUAGAAACCCUACGAAGCAGAGUGUGUCAAACUGUAACAGUUUUAACUUUACAAUUUGUAACAACAAAUGCCAAGUUUGCAAGUAACAAGUCAAAUAAGUUUAGUGACAAAUUAACAAAUGCUAUUAGUGGAUCUGAUAUAAACAUGAAAUAGUGAAAGAAAUAACCAGUUUUGGGGAGUAAUGGAUUACAACAAGUACCAGCAUUAUGUAAUCAGAGUAUAAAUUAUGAGUAACUGUGCUUAGUUAAAGUCACCGUUUCAGUGAGUGGUAACUGGAUUACAGUUACUUUGUUAAAAUAAAUGACUUACAUAGCAGUAUUUUACCGUUUUCACAUUUUGGACUGAACUGAGUCUAGGGUCAGGACUGAACCAGGUCUAAACGAGAUAGGUUACGUAAAUCGUAGAGUAAACAUAUUUUAAAGCGGCAGUGAACUCAUAUAGGAAGCAUUUCUCUAUUAAUAAUUUCUUAAGGAAAUAAAUAAUAAAGUCUUAAGGAAAAACUGGGGUUUUAAUUGCCUUUAAGUAGACAAAACAUCCCAUGUUAAGAUAUUCUGGUCUCUGUUACUUUUAGCAAACAGUUGUUCAUGGAGACUUGGGCUCAACAGUUAAUUUUAAAAGAGAACAAACAAGAAUUUGCAGGAUGUGUUUGCUUUGUUCAUGUAGUUUAAAAAGCAUGACAGUAUCAAUUAAUUCAAAGUAUUCAGAUUACAUUACUCACUUUAAAGUAAUUUAAUGUACUGUAUUGCGUUACAAACUACAUUUUGAGGCAUGUAAUCUGUAAUCUGUAGGGGAAUACAUAAUUACAUACAUUUUAAGAGUAACCCUCCCAAUACUAGAAAUAACUGAGAACCUGUGACCGUCUAAACUCAUCUAAUGUCGCUAAAAUAUUAAAGGAUCUAAGAAUAUGGCAUGUUAAAAAACUAUUUUGAAGAGAAGUUUUGGCUAUGCUUUAUGUAACGUUAAAUUUUAAGGCUAGGCGACAGGAUGUUAAAUAGGACAAGAAGAGCAGUCAAAGGAGCACAGGGUAGGAAUGACAACCAGUAGUCAAAAAUGUUGAUAAUUAUAACUGUAUUGAAAGUAAAAUGAAAGGCAAAGAUAAAUUAUGAGCAAAUAAAGCACAAAAAAUAAAGUCGCCAAAAUAAAAGUCUGCUAAACUAAAAGUGUAUUCGAUACAGGUUACAUCUAAUCGCCUUUAUUUCUGUCCCUUCUGAUCUAGGUAGGAUAACUAAUUAUUGCUAAACUAUUAAAGGCACUGUAUUUAAUAUUUGAUGGCAUUUUUGUUUUUGGGGUGCACGCUAGUUGUCCGUUGGUUGGCAUAGUUGUAAAUGGCAAAUUUAUUGUUUGUUUGUUGUGCUGUUGUUGAAGGGAUAUUCUGUAUGUGUUUUCCUGUCGGUGCGCUCCGCAUUACUGCUUACUAGUGCGGUGCUGAGCUAUUCUUGUAUAUGAAUUGGGAAAUUCAUGUGCAGGAGCGGCUUGAUGUUGCAUUGGCGAGCGGAGGUGCGACGUGCGUACGCGAAGAGCGUGUGAGGCGGCGAAGAAAGUUUGAAAGAAUUAUGUAAGUCGAUAAGCGGGUAUGCGGUGUGUAGCACGAGUUUUUAUGGAAAUUAGGAAAGUUGAUGAGAGGGUGUGACGUAAGUUGAUAAGAGAGAAGUGUGAAAUGUGUGUGGGUGAGGGCGUGUCCAACUAUGGGAAAUACGUAAGUUGGUAUGAAGGUGUGCGAAGUGGGUCAGGAGAAAUUUGAAGGAAUUACGUAACUUGGUGUGAUUAUGCGAAAUGUGUAAUGGGACAUAUAUACACUCUUGAGAAAUGCAACGUUGUUCAAAUUUAAUUAAGUAUGUUUAAUUGCAUUGAAGGUAUAGAGUAACUUUAACCUAUUUUAUAUUUGCUCGUUUUUCUUAAUUCCAACCUAAUAUUAUUAAUUUAAUACUGAUUAAAAUCGCUUGUAGCUUUUAUAUACGAUUUAUAGUUUAAGUAAAAACAAUAUUGCUGAAAAAUUACAAAACAAUAUUAAUAUAUGAAUCAGUAUGAAUUGGGAAAAGAGAAGCUUUGAGUAGUCUUAAAGCAACAUUUACUUUGAAUUUAAUUGACAUUAUUGCUUUGAAUAAUAACCUGUUGCUACAAUGAAAUUGAUAAAGUCUUUUACAUUUAGUACAAACAGUAAGACACAUUAGACACAACUGACAGUUCAGGUCAUGAUACAGGGGACAGUAAAACAGGAAAUGCAUUUCAUUUUCAAUGCUUUGAAAGUCGCACAGAGCAUGUGUGUUGCUCCAGAGAGAGAGAGAGAGAGCCAGGGGCAAAGUCCCAUAUGUCAGCUGAGAUAACUGACCUCUGACAUACAACUCAGGUUCACAGUGACAUACAAUUCAGGUCCAAAACAGUUUUUAAUUAAGAUAUAUGUUCUUAAUUUUGGUUUACAUAAAGUUUUAUUGUGCUACUUUUGUUUAUACUUAUUAAAAUAAAUGUUAUAGAUAGCUUAGAAUGAAUCAUAAAAUCUGCCGUCAUUAUCAAUAUGUAGCAGCUGAAAAUAAAACAGGUCCCAAUUUACAUAGUCAAAGGCUUCUGAAAGUCAAUAAAACAAAUAAAAGUAGGGUUUCCCUCUUGUUUUCUAACAUUAUAUGCAAUUCAUACAGGCUCUUUUCUUCCUAAAUGCAUUAUGCGCCUCGGCCAAUACAUUAAAGAUUUUAGAUAACAGACCAGCCUCUCAUUAAGAACAAUAGAAUAAGGUUUAUAUACAGUUAAGAAGGCUGAGGCCUCUGUAGUUCAUGGUUACUGGGGGUCUGCAGUUGAAAAUUUUAGGAUUGGUUUGAUAAUAGAUUUUUGCCAGCCAGAGAGGACAAGACUUAAAACAAGUAAUAAAUAAUAAUAUUUUAAAGUACUGAGGACAUACCAGGCUGUUUCAGCAGUUUAUUAGACAGAUUAUCAAAUCCAGUGGCUUUUCUAACUUUGAUUUAUCAAUGCCUUUCUUACUUCAUCCUCUGUAAUAUCAAAAUUUAAAUAAGGAUUAAGGAAAAUAAACUAUGUACGCAUCUCUAUUUGAUUUCUUUGAAUUACUGUCAUUUCCAAAUGAGAAUUAUUCCACCAAGGGGAGACAAAAUAUCCUGCAAAUAAAAUGAGUUUCCCAUUUUUAGAACAUUUUCAAUAAAAAAAACUAAGGAGCUAUUAUCUGAGAUCACCUCUACAGGAUAUGCCUAUUUUUAUGUAUUCUCAAUCUGCAGAUUUAGCACAAACACUGUCUUUAGAAGUUUUCAGUUGACAUGGUUCAUAAUAGAAGUUUAUUUGUCUAAAUGUAGUCUCUUAAUGUUUACCGUCAAAAUAAAUUCACAUUUUGUAGUGUUGAACAGAAGCAACCAGUGUGUUCUCGAUCUGAUUAGGACCUGGUCUAAUCUUAGUUUGGUUCUGGUUUAGACUUUGUGUAGUAUUGAUUUGGUUCAGGUUUAGUCCUGGUUUACUAAUUUUUUCAAGUGUUAAACAUGGUCUACAACUGGUUUAGACCAGGUUAGCUCAGUUUUUUUCUUGAUUCAGUCCUUUUAAAUUCUAACUUAGUUCUAGGUUGGUCCCAGCCUAAUCUUGGUUUAGUUCUGAUUCAAUGCUGGUUUACAAAUUUAAUCUUAUGUUAAAAUAUAGUUUAAAGCUGGAUUGGUCCUGGUUUAGUUCCUGUUUGGACCUAAUCUGGUUUUGGUUUAGUUCUGAGUUAGAGCUGCAUUAAUCUUGGUUUAGUACUAGUUUAAACCUGGUUGGGUUGAUCAUGGUUUAGUUCUGAAUUAAUCUGAGUUUGUCUUUGGUUUAGCUUUGUUUUUAUUUCUGCUUUUUCCUAGUUUAGUUUGUCCAAAACAUGGACUUCACUUACAUUUUAAUCCUUUUUUGAUCUCAGUAUUAUUCUUAUGAGCAUGAAUUUUCCUAUGAAACCUGCUUUAAUUAAUUCAUGAUUGCGAAAUAAACUGUUAUUUGACGUGAAUACUAAAAUUGUUUAAAUUUUAAAUAAAUAAUCUUACAGAUUAUUCUACAGAAGCUGCACCGCAGUGAUGCGACUCUGGUGGUCUUUUUCCUCACGCCAGCUAAAACCAGCAACUUCAGCGUGGAGUCACUGAAGGGUCAGUCCAUCUACAAGCAGCAAUGGGACACUGCUCACUUGGUGAAGGAGAAGUUUUGUCAGCAGCUCUAUGACUCUUUGCUCAGAGGUUAGAUCCCUGACAUGAACUUCAUCUGAGGUGACUUCACCAUCACGAGGAGAGCCAUUCACAUUACACAUAGAUGUGGCCUGCCUGUGGUCACUACCUACGACAUACUGGACAAUGCCACUGACCAAGAUUUGGCUAUUUCAGGAAGAGCAUGUGACUGACUGCUGUGCUGUGACUGAUAUGAGAUCUACAUCGUGGUUUGCAGGUUCGACUCUGCAGAUGACUCUGUUACCAGCUGACGCAAUCCAUGUUCAGCUUCUGUCAACAGUUCUGCCUUCGACGCAUCAUUCGAUGUAACUGCACUGAGCGCCCAUCUGAGCGCCUCGACUGGAGAUACCUUCUGGACUCUCUUUUAAGGCUCUUUCCAGGCCCCUCCAGAAGAAGCUGACAAACUAUAGCUAGGUCUUAUAUUAUUGAGAAAGGCAAGGCAGUUAUGAAACACAACUGGGAGACAACAGAUUCAUGGAGUUUCCCAAUUGCUCUGCUUCUACGUCUUCUGGACCACUUCAAACAGAACCAUGUCAUCAGAGCUCCGCAGCUGGUGUUCCAAUUCCCCCAAGCCCCCACGCCCUACGCAUUCUUUUACCAGAAACACGGGUGGAUUCUUGGCCACCUCAGAGCGCUUGAAAUUGCCCACAAUGCACCGCAUACUACUUAAGCAGUAAAAUGCAUUUUAAUCAAAUGAAACUCAUUCUACAAAUAAUAAUAAUGAUAAUAAUAAUAAUAAUAAUAAUAAUAAUAAUAAAUCUGUAAAUAUUUUGCUAUUUUAGCCACAUUACUGCAGAUAACACAUUAUCAGAUCGAAUGAAUUCAAAUCGAAAAUUGGAAUAGUGAUGAGACAAGCCAAAAGAUGAAUUGGAGCAUGACCCUAUGACGAACAGGAAGUCGGCCAUAUUGGAUCAAACAUUCGCCGCCGUUUUGAAUUGGGUGUCUACAAAAAGAUUCAAGUCCCCGGGGUUUGGUCCAAAUGAGCUCAGAUUUGACAUGUCACAUCUACAGACAUGAACUCACAGAAAUCAUCAAUUUUUUGGGGGGAUACAGGCAUUGACCUAGAGAGCUCAAAUUCAAAUCACAAUUGCGUGAUCCAGGCCUGAAUGUAAUGAAAUAUGAAAUUUAAUAAAAGUGAACUCUAUAGCGCCCCCUAGCAUAGACGUGAAAUGUCAACAUUAUCGGAUUAGUACCAAAAUCGGGGAUUAAAUUCUAUGCAUGAUGACAAGCAAAAAAGUUUAUUAUGGACAUGAUGCAUUUUCCACCAUUGGCCAGCAGGGGCGCAAAGACUCCACCAAAAAAUAGUUAAAAAUUAUUACACCCACAGGCUUAGUCCGAUCGUGCUGAAAUUUGAAUCAUUAAUGCCUGAUCACGGCCUGAAUAUAAUACACUAUAAAACAUAUAAAAAGUGAACUCUAUAGCGCCCCCUACCAUAGACAUGAAACGUCAACAUUAUCGGAUUAGUACCAAAUUCGGAGAUUAAAUUCUAUGCAUGAUAACAAGCAAAACAGUCUAUUACGGACAUGAUGCAUUUUUCACGGUUGGCCAGUAGGGGCGCAAAGACUCCUCUGAAACAUUUAAAGGUACACUAUGUAAUUUUUCUGGUGGACGAGCUGUCGGCCUCGGGAGCUGUCGGGAAGAGAGAGUAGCGUGCCGGGGCGGUCGCGAGUCCCCAGAGGUCCCGUGGGGAGCCGGUGCGCGCCGGGGCGAGGGCCACCAUCGCCGCGCGCGGCUUUUUGUUUUUCAAUUUGCUUAUUGAGGUGAUUAUUUCAUUAACAGAAACAGGGGAGUCACAAAUAUUACGGUCAGAAGGUUGAAUUGGUUGAGAAUCUAUAUUAUUUAGAAACAAAUCAGGUCUUCCAGACAUCUCAUUGGGAGCAUAUAGCUUGCUGUAAAAUGUACUAACAAAUUUAGCGAUUUUGAGGGGGUCUGAAGUUACUUGGCCAUCAAUGUUUAAUAACCCUUCCAGACCGACGGUAUCGUAUACGAUACCGGCGGACAUGUUUUACAUAACCGUGCAUAACUUUUUAACCAUAAAAGAUAGAGACUUAUUUUUUUUCCCUUGUAUAGAUAAGACCCGUGGCUUUACGAGCAUCUUUCCGGCAUCAUCCUACGUCACACGCACGCUGCGUGGUGACGUAGUGAAAACAGGUGUCCAAUAGGAACUUCGCUCUUCGGCGCGUGACGUGCUCCAUCCAUUUUCAUUGGCCCAAACUUUGCCAAAGAUUGUUGUAAGUCAAGAUAGUUACUCCUCUGAGCGUCUGUGCUCAUAGCAUUUGAUAAAGCAGACCUAAGUACCAUUAUUUCUCAAGUAAAUGGCAAAUUACGCAUCUCGCGCAUCCCUUACUAUUUUUAUUUGAAAAGUUUUUUUUUUUACUUGCAAAUGAUACAUAAUACACCCAACAGGACGUAAACAGCCUAGUGCCGAGCAAUGAAUCGGGUGCGCGCGGGUGUGAGCAGGUGCGCGCAGAGGCGCGCUUGGCGUACACACAUUCGUGUGCACUGUUGGGCAAGUUACUUUGAAACUGUAAUGCGUUAUUUAUUACCUAUUACUGUCAUUUCAAAGUAAUUCGUUACAUUACAAUAUUACUGCAUUUAAAAUGUAAGGCAUUACAUUACUAUUGCAUUACUUUAAGUUACUCUCACCAAAAUAACUUUUGCGCUGUAUAUGGACUGAACCAGGUCUAAACCAGGACUAAACCAGAGCUGAACCAGGACUAAACCAGAAGUGAACUAGGACUAAAACAGGACUCACUGUAGGGACGGGCUCGAAGGUGACUGCAGGAGAAAGGAGCGGCUCUGCUCCGCACCUCACGGAGGUAAGAGCGGCUGUCACCCGAUCGCUCUUUAUGGACCCUGCUCCUCGGGCUCGCGGCCCUGAUUUCAGCAACUAUUUGCAGGUACCCGAGCCGGUGCAAGAGUCUGUUACAGCGCGUAACUUCUACCUUCCUUCAGCGUGUCCAGAAGUCCAACUUUUUGUGUGAUGGUUUGCAUCUUCCUCUGCCUUUUGGGUGCGAGCGCAGGAGCCUUUGUCGGUGCAGAACAUUUCGUCGACGUUGUGGGUUUCGUCGGGGAGAAAACUUGCAACCGUACAGCACUUCAGAAUCACACUGCUAGAGACUGAACAUGUAUUUAAAUUUGGCAGCUGAACACAUUCUGUACAGGAGACAGGAGUCCCUUGGCCAGUCAGGACGCAGCGGGAGGAACGCAAUACGCAUUCAUACAAUGUAAAAAAAAAAACAGGGCAUGCAAAAUUGCACAAAAAAAAAAUCUGCGAGACAGCGAAAAGUGAACUGCGAUAGAGGGAGGGACGAGUGUAAACCAGGUCUAAACCAGAACUGACCCAGGUCUAAACCAGGUCUAAACCAAAACUGACCCAGGUCUAAACAGCAUGGAGUUCUUUGUCAGUUCUUUCGCCCGCGGUUACCUGAAGGUCUAUGAGGGCGCAUCUCCGGCGUUUCACCGCUGCUGAUAUCGAGGUGAUUUUAGCGAAUUUGUAUGAAGAAAAACCCACCACUUCAAUCCAGGUUAAAAAACACUGUAACGCGUGUUACUCACAUUUGUACCGAGUAAAAUAUUACUAUUUUUUCCCCUGUAAUGCCUUACAUUACUGCGUUACAGCAAAAAGUAAUGCAUUACUGUAAUUCGUUACUUUUAUAACGCGUUACUCCCAACACUGUUCGUGUGCCAAGGCAUUUGUUGUUUUGCGCACAGAGGAUAAAGAGCUCCGGGAAGUCUAUCAGAAGAAAGAAAGAACGAACGAACAGAAAUGGCACGCAAAGCGUCACUUUCCUUGCUGGAAGCGGUGGCGAUGGUAACGGAGCCUGGCAGUGACGCCGAGUCCGAUGUGGACACUUUUUAUACAGAUGAAGAGUUGGAUUACCUGGACGAUCUGGACCCUAUUGAAGAUGCUGAGUCAGAGGAUGUUCCUCAGGCUCCUCCAGAUUCCCCUGUGCCAUUCACUUCAGGUGUCUCCCCAGCUUCAUCAGUGUCUACAACCCCAGCCACCCGUCCAGAACCAUCAAUACCUUCAACACCUACGAUCUCCUCUGAGAGCAGGAGGAGGGGCAGGGAUGGAGGGCAGGGAAGAUCCAGAUCUCCACUCCUCAGUACUUCAUCUCGACCACCACACUUACUAACCACCACACCAGGAAGACCGCAGCAGGCAAGGAUCAUAUGGGAGGCUGUCAUGUGUGCACUGCUGACAAACACAGGGGAAGAGGCAGUGUACUGCAUGGAAAUGCAAGGCCUGUGAUGUGGCACUAUGCCUGGUGCCUGAUAGGAACUGCUUCCAUGAUUGGCAAUAGUGAAGGACUUGGACGAGUGCACUUUUUUUUUGUUUUGAGGGCAAAAAUGACAUUUUUAGAAUACCUACAAACUUCAUAUUUUGCACUUUUGUAGCUAAGACCCUAAACUAAGUAUUUAUUAUGUCUAAAAAGUUUGCUGUGUGUUUUGAAUAAAGGAGUGUGAAUAUUAUUUUCCGUUUUUUUUUUUCCUUUGUAUUUCUAGUGCUAUAGCUUUUAUUACAGCCAUAUGACACAACUACAGCACUCAGAUUGUGAAAGAACAGGUUGUACUGAAAAAAAGGAUGUAUAGCACUUCAUUAGGGGAUAAAAGGGGGAGUUUUAAUAGCAAAAUUAGGAAAAAAAUCCAGGCGAGGACAAAUGUACCAAAAAUGCCCUUAGGUCUGGAAGGGUU
Molecule: long non-coding RNA, 14505 nt
Organism: Boleophthalmus pectinirostris (great blue-spotted mudskipper)
Lineage: Eukaryota; Metazoa; Chordata; Actinopteri; Gobiiformes; Gobiidae
Exons: 4
Source: RefSeq, a predicted model, not a curated record